Long non-coding RNA from Neopelma chrysocephalum (saffron-crested tyrant-manakin), 1220 nucleotides. RefSeq lists it as uncharacterized. The transcript has 2 exons. The record is from RefSeq and is a predicted model, not a curated record. Lineage: Eukaryota; Metazoa; Chordata; Aves; Passeriformes; Pipridae.
UUUUUCUUCCUCUCUGCAGGAAUGGACAUACACAUACAACCACCAAGUCCGCCAGCAGCAGCUGUGUUUGUCUGUGUACACACUCUUCCCUGGUUCCCAGGUGCUGCUGUCACCUUGUAAAGAAGGUGACAACAAGCAGCGAUGGGGUAAAGUUGGGUCACACAUUGAACACAUAGCCUCACGCUUCUGUUUGGACACUGAGACGAUUGGGGACACGAAUGAAAGUAUUAAAGAGCUUGUCAUCAACCCUUGUGAGAGCACAGCCAUGAGUCAGCGCUGGGACAUGGUGAUGUCUUGACCUGCUGGAGGAGGUGCACGGCAGGGACGGGCACUGAGACGUUGCUACACGCAGCCAAGAUGCACCAGCUGGAGCUCAAAUGCAAAACCAUUGGGGUUCCUUGUGUGCUGUGGAAAGGAAGAAGAAUCGUUCAGAUAAAAAUGGGACACAGUGCUCCAAAUUGAACAACGCAUUUUGACUCUAAGGCACGCAGCUGGUAUUGGCCUGUUGGCAGUCAUACAUUCAAAGAGAAGAGAUGGCAAAAAACAAGCUUGAAAUGUUUUAGAGGGAUGCUGGGGCUCCUGCUAUGGCCUGUAUAGAACUUCAGUGUGCACAGUAUUGGUUAUCCACCUGAAAACGCAGGUAGAAGAGCCUUGAAGACCAAAAGGAAACUUGAACUGAGCAAAGCAAGCAUCUCAAUAGCUUUUGAGGGUUGAGGUGGGUGCACAAGGUGGGAUGUGCCAAGGGAUGCUAAGAAACAUCUCCAGGGAUCAAGUGGAAAACACUGAAUUAUCUUUGCACCUUUUACUGCUGUGGAUGUUCUUGUCUCUGCAGACAGCAUUGGGUGGAGCCGUGUUGCACGUUUGAAUUUGUACCUAAUCCACGUACAUGUUAUGUAUACAGAGGCAGAGCAGUCAUUUAUGUCUGUGGCCAGGAUCAAAACAGCAGGUAGUGGGGGAAUCCUGCUUUGUGCUAACUGCACAUGGGGCUUGUUGAAUCUCCAAAGCCCAAGCAAACAGAGGAUUCAGUGUGUGAGAUUAAAGGAUAUAAACCGCUGUGAAGCUGGGAGGAAACGCAGUAACAUGAUUAUUUCUUCUCUCUGGAGGCCAUGGGUCACUGAAAACUCCCCUAUAAUCUCUCUAUGUGUCUCUCACUGCUUCAGAUCUGGACUAAAUCAAAUUUUCACUUUUAUUCCAUAAAAGUAAUAUUUUUGGUAAUUGAA